UCUGAAUCUGCGUACGGCUCCGCAAACCAGUUGUAAACUAUAGCAAGCAAGCUCGGGGUCGGCUCUCGCGGGGCUGGCUUCGGGCGAUAUGGAUAACCCUGGUAAUUCUGAGGGUAAUACAUGAACGUAAAACCUGGUUGACUGGGCUUCGCGGCCUGGGAGGCUGGGGGAUGUGUGAUUGAGGCUUGGAUGAUUCCGGGAAGGGGCGUGCGUCUAGACCGCGUUAUAAAGGACGGGAGCGCUUCGGGGGGCUCGCCCCAGCGGCUCUUGCUGUGUGCUUCUGACCUAUCAACUAGACGGCAGCGUAAGGGACAUGCUAUGGU
RNAcentral lists this ribosomal RNA (323 nucleotides) under Lamproderma cucumer. RNAcentral's name for it is "bacterial SSU rRNA". It matches the Rfam family "Eukaryotic small subunit ribosomal RNA", at positions 80 to 350 of the family's 1831-position model. The record is from RNAcentral. Lineage: Eukaryota; Evosea; Eumycetozoa; Stemonitida; Stemonitidae.